Molecule: ribosomal RNA, 478 nt
Filed under: uncultured bacterium
Lineage: Bacteria
Description: partial 16S ribosomal RNA
Rfam family: Bacterial small subunit ribosomal RNA
Source: RNAcentral
GACGAACGCUGGCGGCGUGCUUAACACAUGCAAGUCGAACGGGAUUUAGUAAACGGAAGCCUCGGUGGAAGAUUACUAAUGAGAGAGGCGAACGGGUGAGUAACGCGUGAGCAACCUGCCUAUGACAGUGGGAUAGCCUCGGGAAACCGGGAUUAAUACCGCAUAAAAUCGUAGAAACACAUGUUUCAACGGUCAAAGAUUUAUCGGUCAUAGAUGGGCUCGCGUCUGAUUAGCUAGUUGGUGAGAUAACAGCCCACCAAGGCGACGAUCAGUAGCCGGUCUGAGAGGAUGAACGGCCACAUUGGAACUGAGACACGGUCCAAACUCCUACGGGAGGCAGCAGUGGGGAAUAUUGCACAAUGGGGGAAACCCUGAUGCAGCGACGCCGCGUGAACGAAGAAGGUAUUCGUAUCGUAAAGUUCUGUCCUAUGGGAAGAUAAUGACAGUACCAUAGAAGAAAGCUCCGGCUAAAUACGUG